This 483-nucleotide ribosomal RNA is filed under the name uncultured bacterium. RNAcentral's name for it is "partial 16S ribosomal RNA". It matches the Rfam family "Bacterial small subunit ribosomal RNA", at positions 30 to 507 of the family's 1533-position model. The record is from RNAcentral.
AUUGAACGCUGGCGGCAGGCCUAACACAUGCAAGUCGAGCGGAUGAAGGGAGCUUGCUCCUGGAUUCAGCGGCGGACGGGUGAGUAAUGCCUAGGAAUCUGCCUGGUAGUGGGGGAUAACGUCCGGAAACGGGCGCUAAUACCGCAUACGUCCUGAGGGAGAAAGUGGGGGAUCUUCGGACCUCACGCUAUCAGAUGAGCCUAGGUCGGAUUAGCUAGUUGGUGGGGUAAAGGCCUACCAAGGCGACGAUCCGUAACUGGUCUGAGAGGAUGAUCAGUCAAACUGGAACUAGAAACCGGUCCAGCGCCCAACGGGAGCAAGAGGUGGGAAAUAUUGACAAUGGGCGAAAGCCUGAUCCAGCCAUGCCGCGUGUGUGAAGAAGGUCUUCGGAUUGUAAAGCACUUUAAGUUGGGAGGAAGGGCAGUAAGUUAAUACCUUGCUGUUUUGACGUUACCAACAGAAUAAGCACCGGCUAACUUCGUG